RNAcentral lists this ribosomal RNA (404 nucleotides) under uncultured prokaryote. RNAcentral's name for it is "bacterial SSU rRNA". It matches the Rfam family "Bacterial small subunit ribosomal RNA", at positions 355 to 776 of the family's 1533-position model. The record is from RNAcentral. RNAcentral also lists the same sequence under 1 other name.
UGGGGAAUAUUGCGCAAUGGGGGAAACCCUGACGCAGCAACGCCGCGUGGGCGACGAAGGUCUUCGGAUUGUAAAGCCCUGUCUUCUGGGACGAUAAUGACGGUACCAGAGGAGGAAGCCACGGCUAACUACGUGCCAGCAGCCGCGGUAAUACGUAGGUGGCAAGCGUUGUCCGGAAUUACUGGGCGUAAAGGGUGCGUAGGCGGAUAUUUAAGUGGGAUGUGAAAUACCUGAGCUCAACUAGGGUGCUGCAUUCCAAACUGGAUAUCUAGAGUGCAGGAGAGGAGAAUGGAAUUCCUAGUGUAGCGGUGAAAUGCGUAGAGAUUAGGAAGAACACCAGUGGCGAAGGCGAUUCUCUGGACUGUAACUGACGCUGAGGCACGAAAGCGUGGGUAGCAAACAGG